RNAcentral lists this transfer RNA (64 nucleotides) under Coniopteryx sp. YW-2016. RNAcentral describes it as "tRNA-Gly". The record is from RNAcentral. Lineage: Eukaryota; Metazoa; Arthropoda; Insecta; Neuroptera; Coniopterygidae.
AUUUAUAUAAUAUAAUAAGUAUAUUUGACUUCCAAUCAAAAAGUUUAAAAACUUAAUAUAAAUA